UACGUAGGGUGCGAGCGUUAAUCGGAAUUACUGGGCGUAAGGCGUGCGCAGGCGGUUAUUUAAGAAAGAUGGGAAAUCCCCGGGCUCAAACUGGGAACUGCGUUUGUGACUGGAUAGCUAGAGUAUGGCAGAGGGGGGGUGGAAUUCCACGUGUAGCAGUGAAAUGCGUAGAGAUGUGGAGGAACCCCGAUGGCGAAGGCAGCCCCCUGGGCCAAUACUGACGCUCAUGCACGAAAGCGUGGGGAGCAAACAGG
This 254-nucleotide ribosomal RNA is filed under the name uncultured bacterium. RNAcentral's name for it is "partial 16S ribosomal RNA". It matches the Rfam family "Bacterial small subunit ribosomal RNA", at positions 524 to 776 of the family's 1533-position model. The record is from RNAcentral.